RNAcentral lists this ribosomal RNA (323 nucleotides) under uncultured eukaryote. RNAcentral's name for it is "partial 18S ribosomal RNA". It matches the Rfam family "Eukaryotic small subunit ribosomal RNA", at positions 1470 to 1796 of the family's 1831-position model. The record is from RNAcentral.
CCCUUAGAUGUCCUGGGCCGCACGCGCGCUACACUGAUGCAUUCAACGAGUGUACCUUGACCGAGAGGUCUGGGAAAUCUUGGAACCUGCAUCGUGAUAGGGAUAGAUUAUUGCAAUUAUUAAUCUUGAACGAGGAAUUCCUAGUAAACGCAGAUCAUCAAUCUGCAUUGAUUACGUCCCUGCCCUUUGUACACACCGCCCGUCGCACCUACCGAUUGUUCAAAAUGGUGAGGCCAGGGGAUUGCGAGAAGUUUGCUUAAUUGUGAGUUUUUUGCAAGAACUUGCCCAAACCUCAUUGAAUAGAGGAAGGUGAAGUCGUAACA